RNAcentral lists this unclassified non-coding RNA (291 nucleotides) under air metagenome. RNAcentral's name for it is "partial contains small subunit ribosomal RNA, internal transcribed spacer 1, and 5.8S ribosomal RNA". The stretch from base 1 to 46 matches the Rfam family "Eukaryotic small subunit ribosomal RNA", at positions 1786 to 1831 of the family's 1831-position model. The record is from RNAcentral.
AAGUCGUAACAAGGUUUCCGUAGGUGAACCUGCGGAAGGAUCAUUAACGUAUUCGAACGGGGAGGCCGGGGCGAGCCCAGCACCGGCGGAGACGCCGUGCUUUGCGGGCUUCCCGGCCGACCCUUCCAAACCAAACCCCCGUGCACCUCUAUGGGAAGGCGGGCCCGGCCCUCGCGGUCGGGUCCCCGCCGACCCCCCUUCACAAGCUCUUUUGUAACCGUCGGAAUGGACCGCGGACCACGUCCGUCUAAAUCUUAAUAACAACUUUCAACAACGGAUCUCUUGGCUCUC